RNAcentral lists this transfer RNA (88 nucleotides) under Pantoea eucrina. Its description in RNAcentral is "tRNA-Ser". It matches the Rfam family "tRNA". From Rfam's summary of the family: Transfer RNA (tRNA) molecules are approximately 80 nucleotides in length. Lineage: Bacteria; Pseudomonadati; Pseudomonadota; Gammaproteobacteria; Enterobacterales; Erwiniaceae. RNAcentral also lists the same sequence under 4 other names. The record is from RNAcentral.
GGAGGGGUGGCCGAGUGGCUUAAGGCAACGGUCUUGAAAACCGUCGAUGGGCAACCAUCCGAGAGUUCGAAUCUCUCCUCCUCCGCCA